This is a long non-coding RNA of Oncorhynchus keta (chum salmon), 1801 nucleotides long. RefSeq lists it as uncharacterized. The transcript is spliced from 11 exons. NCBI's taxonomy places the organism in Eukaryota, Metazoa, Chordata, Actinopteri, Salmoniformes, Salmonidae. The record is from RefSeq and is a predicted model, not a curated record.
UGUAGACACUGGUACAGUGAUGGAGGUAGUUAAUAUGUAGACACUGGUACAGUGAUGGAGGUAGUUAAUAUGUAGACACUGGUACAGUGAUGGAGGUAGUUAAUAUGUAGACACUGGUACAGUGAUGGAGGUAGUUAAUAUGUAGACACUGGUACAGUGAUGGAGGUAGUUAAUAUGUAGACACUGGUACAGUGAUGGAGGUAGUUAAUAUGUAGACACUGGUACAGUGAUGGAGAUAGUUAAUAUGUAGACACUGGUACAGUGAUGGAGGUAGUUAAUAUGUAGACACUGGUACAGUGAUGGAGGUAGUUAAUAUGUAGACACUGGUACAGUGAUGGAGGUAGUUAAUAUGUAGACACUGGUACAGUGAUGGAGGUAGUUAAUAUGUAGACACUGGUACAGUGAUGGAGGUAGUUAAUAUGUAGACACUGGUACAGUGAUGGAGGUAGUUAAUAUGUAGACACUGGUAGGGUGAUGGAGGUAGUUAAUAUGUAGACACUGGUACAGUGAUGGAGGUAGUUAAUAUGUAGACACUGGUACAGUGAUGGAGGUAGUUAAUAUGUAGACACUGGUACAGUGAUGGAGGUAGUUAAUAUGUAGACACUGGUACAGUGAUGGAGGUAGUUAAUAUGUAGACACUGGUACAGUGAUGGAGGUAGUUAAUAUGUAGACACUGGUACAGUGAUGGAGGUGGUUAAUAUGUAGACACUGGUACAGUGAUGGAGGUAGUUAAUAUGUAGACACUGGUACAGUGAUGGAGGUGGUUAAUAUGUAGACACUGGUACAGUGAUGGAGGUAGUUAAUAUGUAGACACUGGUACAGUGAUGGAGGUGGUUAAUAUGUAGACACUGGUACAGUGAUGGAGGUAGUUAAUAUGUAGACACUGGUACAGUGAUGGAGGUAGUUAAUAUGUAGACACUGGUACAGUGAUGGAGGUAGUUAAUAUGUAGACACUGGUACAGUGAUGGAGGUAGUUAAUAUGUAGACACUGGUACAGUGAUGGAGGUAGUUAAUAUGUAGACACUGGUACAGUGAUGGAGGUAGUUAAUAUGUAGACACUGGUACAGUGAUGGAGAUAGUUAAUAUGUAGACACUGGUACAGUGAUGGAGGUAGUUAAUAUGUAGACACUGGUACAGUGAUGGAGGUAGUUAAUAUGUAGACACUGGUACAGUGAUGGAGGUAGUUAAUAUGUAGACACUGGUACAGUGAUGGAGGUAGUUAAUAUGUAGACACUGGUACAGUGAUGGAGGUAGUUAAUAUGUAGACACUGGUACAGUGAUGGAGGUAGUUAAUAUGUAGACACUGGUACAGUGAUGGAGAUAGUUAAUAUGUAGACACUGGUACAGUGAUGGAGAUAGUUAAUAUGUAGACACUGGUAGGGUGAUGGAGGUGGUUAAUAUGUAGACACUGGUACAGUGAUGGAGAUAGUUAAUAUGUAGACACUGGUACAGUGAUGGAGGUAGUUAAUAUGUAGACACUGGUACAGUGAUGGAGGUGGUUAAUAUGUAGACACUGGUACAGUGAUGGAGGUAGUUAAUAUGUAGACACUGGUACAGUGACGGAGAUAGUUAAUAUGUAGACACUGGUACAGUGAUGGAGGUAGUUAAUAUGUAGACACUGGUACAGUGAUGGAGAUAGUUAAUAUGUAGACACUGGUACAGUGAUGGAGGUAGUUAAUAUGUAGACACUGGUACAGUGAUGGAGGUAGUUAAUAUGUAGACACUGGUACAGUGAUGGAGGUAGUUAAUAUGUAGACACUGGUACAGUGAUGGAGAUAGUUAAUAUGUAGACACUGGUACA